RNAcentral lists this ribosomal RNA (254 nucleotides) under uncultured bacterium. RNAcentral describes it as "partial 16S ribosomal RNA". It matches the Rfam family "Bacterial small subunit ribosomal RNA", at positions 524 to 776 of the family's 1533-position model. The record is from RNAcentral.
UACGUAGGGGGCGAGCGUUGUCCGGAAUUAUUGGGCGUAAAGAGCUCGUAGGCGGCUUAGUAAGUCGGCGGUGAAAUACCGAGGCUCAACCUCGGCACUGCCGUCGAUACUGCUAUGGCUAGAGUUUGGUAGAGGAGAACGGAAUUCCCGGUGUAGCGGUGGAAUGCGCAGAUAUCGGGAGGAACACCCGUAGCGAAGGCGGCUCUCUGGGACGGUACUGACGCCGAGACGCGAAAGCGUGGGGAGCGAACAGG